GAUGAACGCUGGCGGCGUGCCUAAUACAUGCAAGUCGAGCGAACAGACGAGGAGCUUGCUCCUCUGACGUUAGCGGCGGACGGGUGAGUAACACGUGGAUAACCUACCUAUAAGACUGGGAUAACUUCGGGAAACCGGAGCUAAUACCGGAUAAUAUAUUGAACCGCAUGGUUCAAUAGUGAAAGACGGUUUUGCUGUCACUUAUAGAUGGAUCCGCGCAGCAUUAGCUAGUUGGUAAGGUAACGGCUUACCAAGGCAACGAUGCGUAGCCGACCUGAGAGGGUGAUCGGCCACACUGGAACUGAGACACGGUCCAGACUCCUACGGGAGGCAGCAGUAGGGAAUCUUCCGCAAUGGGCGAAAGCCUGACGGAGCAACGCCGCGUGAGUGAUGAAGGUCUUCGGAUCGUAAAACUCUGUUAUUAGGGAAGAACAAUUGUGUAAGUAACUAUGCACGUCUUGACGGUACCUAAUCAGAAAGCCACGGCUAACUACGUG
This 497-nucleotide ribosomal RNA is filed under the name uncultured bacterium. RNAcentral describes it as "partial 16S ribosomal RNA". It matches the Rfam family "Bacterial small subunit ribosomal RNA", at positions 28 to 507 of the family's 1533-position model. The record is from RNAcentral.